Molecule: long non-coding RNA, 656 nt
Organism: Dermacentor andersoni
Lineage: Eukaryota; Metazoa; Arthropoda; Arachnida; Ixodida; Ixodidae
Source: RefSeq, a predicted model, not a curated record
CUGGCCGACGGUUUUCAGACUCUCGAUCGUUGCACCGAUAGGGAUCUUUACUGAGCGUUCUGGAGCAGCAACAUGGGACGCACCAGCUUUCUUUGGUUGCUGCUGCUAGUGGCUUCUGCAACAGGCAGCUAUCGAAGCUACGGGCACUACGGAUACGGUUACCCCUUUCCUUACUACGGCCUCGGAUAUGGGAGGUACGGCCUCGGGGGAUAUGGCCUCGGCUACGGUCUUGGAGGCUACGGUCUGGGAGGCUACGGACUCGGGGGCUACGGGCUCGGACAUGGCUACGGCUUUCCCAAGAUAUGGGGCUGACAAAAAGGCGAAGAGAGGCUGCCCCGCAUAAAAACAAAAGAUCUCCAGGAAUACAGUAAAGAAGAGGCUCACAUUUUUUUCAAGUGGCACGUAGCGUGAGGUCCAUUCAUCAAGAUCCCAGAGGGCACUUGUUCAAACCGUGGAGAGACCCGCCUAGAAUGUCAUCACCUAUGAAGUCAACGCCGCAGAUUGCUAGUCAAUAAAAGAAGUGAACGCUUUCCAUGCACUCUGGACACAUGACUCGGAGCCGCAAAGUGAAACUGAAAGUAUUGACAAGCCCUUCUCGCAGAAUGAACACCGUGUAUCUAAGGAGAGAUAGAGAAUAAACAUUUUUAUUGGGUGAA